RNAcentral lists this long non-coding RNA (1624 nucleotides) under Lathyrus oleraceus (garden pea). RNAcentral describes it as "Pisum sativum (pea) long non-coding RNA (PSAT_LNC034520)". The record is from RNAcentral. Lineage: Eukaryota; Viridiplantae; Streptophyta; Magnoliopsida; Fabales; Fabaceae.
UGAAAUGUUAAAUGACCUAAAAAUGAAUGCAUGAAUGAGGGGGGGAAAUUUUGAGGUAUUACAGUGUGCAUAUGAUGAUAUUCUUGAAAGGAUUGUUUAUCCUGUGUUACUCUUGACCUUACCCUGGCCUAGAUUACACCCGUGAGUGGGGCGGGAAUGAAUCAUUUACAGGUACUGAUGGUGACUUGUUCUGAUGAUGACUUAUUCUGUUGGUGACUUUUGUUUGGUUCUUGUUGGUGACCGUUGGUUCUGAAGUAUGGGUUCUAAGUUGAUGACUGUGUUCUAUGGCUCCCGGUUCCGAAUUCAUGCUGAAGUUCUGAUCCUAUGCCUUGUGAUACACAGCCAACCAGCCAUUGUUUCAUCAUUUUGCAUCAUAGCAUGUUUAUUUUCAAAAAAAUAAUGCAUAAAAAAGAAAAAAAGUUACCCGCAUAUGCAUAUCAUUUUUCAGGUUUAUUCAAGAGUCUGUUCACACCGAGAGAUGGUUGCCAUUCCAGAGUUGAAGAGGAAGACUUGCACCUACAGCUUUUACCGUGAGCCAUUGACAUCUUUGGAAGAAUUGGGUAAUCUCGUGACCGACCGUAAUCAGAAAGUUUUUGAUGAUCAGUAUGGGGAUAUCUUGGCGUUGUUGAAGAUGGUGGUUGAUAUGGUACCUCUGCAGACUCUCUUACAGUUCUAUGAUCCGGAGAGGAAGUUGUUGAACUCAGAGUGCAACUGAAAGAGAAGCUCACCCCUCUAACUGAGUGUUUAGAAUGUGACCGAUUGAUGGAUCAUUGCUAGUAUUUGAAGACUCUCAUUCCUGAAGGACGACUUCCCUAGUUUGUCUUGUUGUUUAUUUUGAGAAUCACCUCCAGGAUUGUUGGGUGGGAUUCCUUGUUCUACACUGAUGAACUGAAUCUUUGCUUAAUUUGAAGACUCUCAUUCCUGAAGGACGACUUCCCUAGUUUGUCUUGUUGUUUAUUUUGAGAAUCACCUCCAGGAUUGUUGGGUGGGAUUCCUUGUUCUACACUGAUGAACUGAAUCUUUGCUUGAACUAUGUUUGUAUGAACCUUAUUUCUUAUGUCUAUGGAUGAGAUUAUUGAUGUUUCACUUUUUCUUGUCGUCCAUUGUAUGUUGCUUCUUUGUUGUUUAUGUUCCGCUUACGGGUGCAGGUGGCCAUUUUUCAAAGGUGGACGAGACUCUUGAAUACCUGAGAAAUGAUAAAACAUAGCAUACGCAUCAUACACAUAUCAUUCUUGCAUCAUUACAGGUGUUCUUGAAGAUGAUUUCUCAUUCUUGUCCCCGUUUCAGGAAGGAUUGCUGAGUAUCGUCCGCACCGUUACGCAACAAGGCAGAAUCGACAGAAGAUCCUGGAUCAAUUUCAAGCAGAGCUAGCAGAGAUGAGGACCAACAUGACCCAAUUCAUGAGUAUGAUGCAAGGGGUAGUGCAAGGGCAAGAGGAACUCCGAGCCUUGGUCCAGAGACAAGAAACUGUGAUUCCCCCUAUCGUCCAGAAUCCGCCAGAAGGAACCCCUGUCAAUGACACCGCUGCUGUUACCAGCCAUGUCAACAACUAUGCUACUGGUGACGAAUUGCAUGGUAUUAGGAUCGAUGGACAACCCCUCAUCACCGAGGCUGCUAAUGCUCG